AGAGUUUGAUCCUGGCUCAGAAUCAACGCUGGCGGCGUGCCUCAGACAUGCAAGUCGAACGCGAAAGUUCCCUUCGGGGAGCGAGUAGAGUGGCGCACGGGUGAGUAACACGUAGGUAAUCUACCUUUGGAUGGGGAAUAACAACCGGAAACGGUUGCUAAUACCGCAUAAUGCAGCGGCACCUAAUGGUGACAGUUGUUAAAGCGGGGGAUCGCAAGACCUCGCGUCUGAAGAGGAGCCUGCGGCAGAUUAGCUAGUUGGUAAGGUAACGGCUUACCAAGGCGAUGAUCUGUAACCGGCCUGAGAGGGCGGUCGGUCACACUGACACUGACAUACGGGUCAGACUCCUACGGGAGGCAGCAGUCGGGAAUUUUGGGCAAUGGGCGAAAGCCUGACCCAGCAACGCCGCGUGAAGGAUGAAAUCCCUCGGGAUGUAAACUUCGCAAGAACAGGAAGAAUAAGUAAGAGUUAAUAUCUCUUAUGAUGACGGUACUGUUUGUAAGCUCCGGCUAACUCCGUGCCAGCAGCCGCGGU
This 534-nucleotide ribosomal RNA is filed under the name uncultured bacterium. RNAcentral describes it as "bacterial SSU rRNA". It matches the Rfam family "Bacterial small subunit ribosomal RNA", at positions 8 to 521 of the family's 1533-position model. The record is from RNAcentral.